RNAcentral lists this ribosomal RNA (366 nucleotides) under uncultured Glomeromycotina. RNAcentral's name for it is "SSU rRNA". It matches the Rfam family "Eukaryotic small subunit ribosomal RNA", at positions 704 to 1072 of the family's 1831-position model. Lineage: Eukaryota; Fungi; Glomeromycota. The record is from RNAcentral.
UGACGAACCGUGAUGUCAUUAAUUUGGUGUUGCGGGAAAUCAGGACUGUUACUUUGAAAAAAUUAGAGUGUUUAAAGCAGGCUAACGCUUGAAUACAUUAGCACGGAAUAAUGAAAUAGGACGUUAAUCCUAUUUUGUUGGUUUCUAGGAUCGACGUAAUGAUUAAUAGGGAUAGUUGGGGGCAUUAGUAUUCAAUUGUCAGAGGUGAAAUUCUUGGAUUUAUUGAAGACUAACUACUGCGAAAGCAUUUGCCAAGGAUGUUUUCAUUAAUCAAGAACGAAAGUUAGGGGAUCGAAGACGAUCAGAUACCGUCGUAGUCUUAACCAUAAACUAUGCCGACAAGGGAUCGGAUGAUGUUAUUUUUAA